AACCGAAACACCAUAAAUAUAGUAUUACAACAACAAAGAACGGCUGUUGCAACAACAUGUAACAACUAAUACAACAACAUAGAUUGAACCAUUAGAUGGAGCAACUGAAACACCAUAGACAUAGUAUUACAACAACAUCGACCAACUGUUGCAACAACAUGCAACAACUAAUACAACAGUGCAGAUUAAAGCAUUGGAUGGAGCAACUAAAACACCAUGGACAUAGUACACAACAACACCGAACAAAUGUUGUAACAACAUAAAACAAACUACUACAACAUGCAGACUGGAGCAACUGAAACAACAUCUCAAAACACAAAACUGCAACAACGACUAAAACCUACUGCAACGUCUAGAUAGAACCAUUGCAACAAUGACGAGAUCUGAACCCGAGAGCUCGCUGGAACCUGAAAAACAUACUGCAAAAAACCAGAGAACACCGUUACAACACGUACGAGCACUGAAUCCCAAGAGCUCGCCGAAACCCUGGCCAACACAAUAUCCCGUAGAUCUAGAUCCGGAGGAAGAGCAGGAGGAGCAAGAGGUGGAGGAGCAGAGGAGGGCUCAGAUCCAGAUCCACAAAGAGGAGAGAGGGAAAAGAGAGAGAAAGGCUUCAGAUCCAAAUCCCUCCCCACCUACCUCGUCGGAGCCGCGUCGUUGUCUCCAUCUCCAGAUGCAUGGAGGUCACGAGAGCGAGGAGAAAGAGCAGAGAGGAAGGGAGUUGCGCCGCUCACUGAAAGCUGCCACCGUCGUGCUCUACUCCGGAGGCAUGGAGAGCGUGUGGGUCGCAGCGAGGAGGAAGGGAGAAAAGGGGGGAGGAGCGGUUCGCGCAUGGCAGAAAGUGCGGCCGCAUGUGCGAGCGGUGGAAGUGGCAGCGAGAUGUGAGAGAAGAGUGGAGAUGAAAAAAAUGAGUGGAUGGGAAG
RNAcentral lists this long non-coding RNA (923 nucleotides) under Sorghum bicolor (sorghum). RNAcentral's name for it is "long non-coding RNA (SBIC_LNC011419)". Lineage: Eukaryota; Viridiplantae; Streptophyta; Magnoliopsida; Poales; Poaceae. The record is from RNAcentral.